RNAcentral lists this ribosomal RNA (250 nucleotides) under uncultured prokaryote. Its description in RNAcentral is "partial 16S ribosomal RNA". It matches the Rfam family "Bacterial small subunit ribosomal RNA", at positions 524 to 773 of the family's 1533-position model. The record is from RNAcentral.
UACGGAGGAUGCAAGCGUUAUCCGGAUUUAUUGGGUUUAAAGGGUGCGUAGGCGGAUAUGUAAGUCAGCGGUGAAACUCGCAGGCUCAACCUGUGCCGUGCCGUUGAAACUGUGUAUCUGGAAUGCGGAUGCUGUGGGAGGAAUGUGUAGUGUAGCGGUGAAAUGCAUAGAUAUUACACAGAACACCGAUUGCGAAGGCAUCUCACAAAGCCGUUAUUGACGCUGAGGCACGAAAGUGUGGGGAUCGAAA